AACGCACCUUGCGCUCCUUGGUAUUCCGAGGAGCAUGCCUGUUUGAGUGUCAUUAAAUUCUCAACCUUCCAGCUUUUAUUAGCUUGGAUAGGCUUGGAUGUGGGGGUUGCGGGCUUCAUCAAUGAGGUUGGCUCUCCUUAAAAGCAUUAGCGGAACUUUUGUGGACCGUCUAUUGGUGUGAUAAUUAUCUACGCCGUGGAUGUGAAGCAACUUUAUAAAGUUCAGCUUCUAACUGUCCAUUAACUUGGACAAUUUUGACAAUUUGGCCUCAAAUCAGGUAGGACUACCCGCUGAACUUAA
RNAcentral lists this unclassified non-coding RNA (300 nucleotides) under uncultured Laccaria. Its description in RNAcentral is "sequence contains ITS2". The stretch from base 1 to 52 matches the Rfam family "5.8S ribosomal RNA", at positions 103 to 154 of the family's 154-position model. Lineage: Eukaryota; Fungi; Basidiomycota; Agaricomycetes; Agaricales; Tricholomataceae. The record is from RNAcentral.